UUGGACCUGAUAUCAGGCAAGAUUACCCGCUGAACUUAAGCAUAUCAUAA
This 50-nucleotide ribosomal RNA is filed under the name Phytophthora gonapodyides. RNAcentral describes it as "partial 28S ribosomal RNA". The record is from RNAcentral. Lineage: Eukaryota; Oomycota; Peronosporomycetes; Peronosporales; Peronosporaceae.